AAAUGAGGUUUAAAAUGUUUAAAGUCGUUUUUAAAGGAUAGGCAGUGUUCGAUAAGUAUUUACAAGGGAUUUUAAAAGUUUUUUAAAAGUGAUUUACAUAA
RNAcentral lists this small RNA (101 nucleotides) under Arabidopsis thaliana (thale cress). Its description in RNAcentral is "ATSL208100". Lineage: Eukaryota; Viridiplantae; Streptophyta; Magnoliopsida; Brassicales; Brassicaceae. The record is from RNAcentral.